GCAUCGGUGGUUCAGUAGUAGAAUUCUCGCCUGCCACGCGGGGGUCCCGGGUUCAGUUCCCGGCCGAAGCA
RNAcentral lists this transfer RNA (71 nucleotides) under Anneissia japonica. RNAcentral's name for it is "tRNA-Gly". It matches the Rfam family "tRNA". From Rfam's summary of the family: Transfer RNA (tRNA) molecules are approximately 80 nucleotides in length. The record is from RNAcentral. Lineage: Eukaryota; Metazoa; Echinodermata; Crinoidea; Comatulida; Comatulidae.